Molecule: ribosomal RNA, 292 nt
Filed under: uncultured bacterium
Lineage: Bacteria
Description: partial 16S ribosomal RNA
Source: RNAcentral
GGACUACCAGGGUAUCUAAUCCGGUUCGCUCCCCACGCUUUCGCGCCUCAGCGUCAGGUCACCCCCAGCCGGCCGCCUUCGCCACUGGUGUUCCUCCCGAUCUCUACGCAUUUCACCACUACACCGGGAAUUCCACCGGCCUCUGAGUGCCUCCAGUCCGGCAGUCUCCACCGCACCCUCCCAGUUGAGCCGGGAGAUUUCACGACAGACUUACCGCACCGCCUGCGCGCGCUUUACGCCCAAUAAAUCCGGACAACGCUCGCCACCUACGUAUUACCGCGGCUGCUGGCAC